GCCUGGGUGGCUCAGUCGGUUGAGCGUCCGACUUCGGCUCAGGUCACGAUCUCACGGUUUGUGGGUUCGAGCCCCGCGUCAGGCU
This 85-nucleotide transfer RNA is filed under the name Felis catus (domestic cat). It matches the Rfam family "tRNA". From Rfam's summary of the family: Transfer RNA (tRNA) molecules are approximately 80 nucleotides in length. Their secondary structure includes four short double-helical elements and three loops (D, anti-codon, and T loops). The record is from Rfam by way of RNAcentral. Lineage: Eukaryota; Metazoa; Chordata; Mammalia; Carnivora; Felidae.